CCAAGGAGUCUAACAUGUGUGCGAGUCGUAGGGUUCGUCCGAAACCCGAAGGCGCAGUGAAAGUAGAGGUCGGAUAUCUCUCGGGAUGUUCGACCGAGGCGGGAUCCGUUCUGUUGUUUUCUUUUUAAUCUUUUAAAAGGUUUGAAGGGAUUCAAAAAUUUGAGAAACGAAACUAUUUGUUUCUUCCUUUUCUCCUUCGGGGGUUUAGGAGAAACAGUGUUUUUUUUUUUGGACGGCGCACCGCCGGCCCGUCUCAACCGCCGCGUCGGUGAGGCGGAGCAAGAGCACACACGUUGGGACCCGAAAGAUGGUGAACUAUUCCUAGGCAGGACGAAGCCAGAGGAAACUCUGGUGGAGGUCCGUAGCGUUUCUGACGUGCAAAUCGAUCGUCAGACCUGGGUAUAGGGGCGAAAGACUAAUCGAACCAUCUAGUAGCUGGUUCCCUCCGAAGUUUCCCUCAGGAUAGCUGGCUCUCGAGACACACAGUCUCAUCCGGUAAAGCGAAUGAUUAGAGGCCUUGGGGCCGAAACGACCUCAACCUAUUCUCAAACUUUCAAUGGGUGAGAAGUCCGGCUUGCUCGACUGAAGCCCGGACGUCGGAUGCGAGUGCCCAGGGGGCCACUUUUGGUAAGCAGAACUGGCGCUGUGGGAUGAACCAAACGCCGGGUUACGGCGCCAAAUGCGACGCUCAUCAGACACCAUGAAAGGUGUUGGUUGCUAUAGACAGCAGGACGGGGGCCAUGGAAGUCGGAAUUCGCUAAGGAGUGUGUAACAACUCACCUGCCGAAGCAACUAGGCCUGAAAAUGGAUGGCGCUCAAGCGUCGAGCCUAUACCCGGCCGCCGGGGCAGAGCCCGCUUGUGUUUGUUUUUUUUUUUUCCGUCAAAAAGAAAAGAGAAAAAUUUAUAGAUAAACGGCCCCAGACGCCCCGGCGAGUAGGAGGGUCGCGGCGGUGAGCGGAAAAGGGUCGGGCGUAGGCCCGCCUGGAGCCUCCGCCGGUGCAGAUCUUGGUGGUAGUAGCAAAUACUCGAGUGAGAACCUUGAGGACUGAUGUGGAGAAGGGUUCCAUGUGAACAGCAGUUGAACAUGGGUCAGUCGGCCCUAAGGAAUAGGGAAAUCCCGUUCCGAACGGGGGGGUGUAUAUAUCUUAAAAACAUAUUGUUGAAAUAAACCCCCGCCUAGACCGAAAGGGAAUCGGGUUAAUAUUCCCGAACCCGGACACGGAGAUCGGGCCCAUCGUGGUCCAGUGCGGUGACGCAAGCGACCUCGGAUACGUCGGCGGGUGUCCCGGAAAGAGUUGUCUUUUCUUUGUAAGGGACGGAAUCCCUGGAAUCGGUUCGCCCGGAGAUAGGGAUGUGGUUUCCGUAAAGCACCGCGCCUCCUGCGGUGUCCGGACAGCACUCGUCGGCCCUUGAAAAUCCGAGGAAGGUAGUGCGAUUUUCGUGCCGGGCCGUACCCAUAUCCGCAGCAGGUCU
RNAcentral lists this ribosomal RNA (1474 nucleotides) under Dendrothereua sp. MCZ DNA106854. Its description in RNAcentral is "eukaryotic LSU rRNA". It matches the Rfam family "Eukaryotic large subunit ribosomal RNA", at positions 666 to 1866 of the family's 3401-position model. Lineage: Eukaryota; Metazoa; Arthropoda; Chilopoda; Scutigeromorpha; Scutigeridae. The record is from RNAcentral.